Molecule: RNase P RNA, 378 nt
Filed under: Nicoliella spurrieriana
Lineage: Bacteria; Bacillati; Bacillota; Bacilli; Lactobacillales; Lactobacillaceae
Description: Bacterial RNase P class B
Rfam family: Bacterial RNase P class B
About the family: Ribonuclease P (RNase P) is a ubiquitous endoribonuclease, found in archaea, bacteria and eukarya as well as chloroplasts and mitochondria. Its best characterised activity is the generation of mature 5'-ends of tRNAs by cleaving the 5'-leader elements of precursor-tRNAs. Cellular RNase Ps are ribonucleoproteins.
Source: Rfam by way of RNAcentral
AAUCCUGAGUAAUCGCGGCUGGUUCGUAUCAGCUGAGGAAAGUCCACUCUCGCACAGGCUGCGAUGUCUGUAGUGUUCGUGCUCGGCGAAAAAAUAAGCCGAGGCAUUACCAUUUGGUAAUGAUGGCGGAGAAACGAGCUAAUGCUUAGGCGAUGCUUUAAUACUCUGUAAAGUGCCACAGUGACGAAACAAUUAAAGAAAUUUAAUUGGUGGAACGCGGUAAACCCCUCGAGCGGGAAACCCAAACUACGGUAGGGGAGCUUCAUGUACGGAAAUUGAACCAAGCAUGGGGGAGAAAUUUUAUUUCUCAGAUAGAUGAUUACUACUCAAUUAAUUUGUCCUGAAAUUUUAAUUGAGCACAAAACAUGGCUUACAGGG